GUCUAUGUCUCUCCCUCCAUUGGUCCUGGGCAGUUCAUUGGUUUACACCUCAGCCCCCCUUUUGUUGAGUGUUCUGUUUAGCAGCCCAGCUUGGUUUAGUUUUUUGAGUUCUGUUCCUCCACCAGUUCCUGAGUUUUUUGUUUGUUUGUAUUUGUGUUGUUAAAAAGGAACUGUAUCUAAUUCCUCAUUCUGUGGUGCAGCCUUUGGGUUCUGCCUCCCCAGGAACAUGACCCCACCCCCCCACCCCAAGGGAGUACACUGACGACGUCACCCUUCAAAGUUUUGGAAUUAGAAGAGAAAAUGAAUGCAUAGAAGGACUGAAAGUGAAGACUAGAGGUCCAACAGACCAUCCAUUAAAACCGACUGCCUGGACCAGACCUCAUCUUGUGAUGCAAAGGUGCAGAAGAACAAUCCAUCCUAUGAUGGACAGAGAUUUAUGGGGGAUGCUGUGUCAAAGUACUGAAACAGCAUAGAUAAACAACACAACUUCUCUGUGAGCACCAUCGCUGGGCUACAAAGUGAAAGCCAAGAAAGAGAUGGAAGGUAGGAUGCAUUUUUGAAGUGGGACAAACAGUAAUGAAGCCAAUUGGACAACCUGUUGUUUAAUGAAACCUGAGCUCAGGUUUGUAAAGAUGAGCUGUGGAGUUUUGAAGAAAUUCCUCAUUUGCCUGUUAGCAAAAACCAAACAUUUAUGUGUAAUAUGUGUUUCUUUUAAAACAGUUCUUUUUGAGCCUCUUUGUUGUAUCUUUUUGAUCAAAUAUCCAUCCAGUGUGUGAAGCUGUGUCUUCUUUUUUGGGCUCUUCACCUGCCCAACACACAACAGUUCUUUGAAGUUCCAGAGUUUCACUGAGUUCUUGUCAUAGGACAUAACUUGACUUUUGGGGAAGGAGGACGGUAAGAGUACACCUACU
This is a long non-coding RNA of Cynoglossus semilaevis (tongue sole), 911 nucleotides long. RefSeq lists it as uncharacterized. The record is from RefSeq and is a predicted model, not a curated record. The transcript is spliced from 3 exons. Lineage: Eukaryota; Metazoa; Chordata; Actinopteri; Pleuronectiformes; Cynoglossidae.